AACGAACGCUGGCGGCAGGCUUAACACAUGCAAGUCGAACGCUCCGCAAGGAGAGUGGCAGACGGGUGAGUAACGCGUGGGAAUCUACCCAUCUCUACGGAACAACUCCGGGAAACUGGAGCUAAUACCGUAUACGUCCUUCGGGAGAAAGAUUUAUCGGGGAUGGAUGAGCCCGCGUUGGAUUAGCUAGUUGGUGGGGUAAAGGCCUACCAAGGCGACGAUCCAUAGCUGGUCUGAGAGGAUGAUCAGCCACAUUGGGACUGAGACACGGCCCAAACUCCUACGGGAGGCAGCAGUGGGGAAUAUUGGACAAUGGGCGCAAGCCUGAUCCAGCCAUGCCGCGUGAGUGAUGAAGGCCCUAGGGUUGUAAACCUCUUUCAGCAGGGAAGAAGCGAAAGUGACGGUACCUGCAGAAAAAGCACCGGCUAACUACGUGCCAGCAGCCGCGGUAAAAC
This 455-nucleotide ribosomal RNA is filed under the name uncultured bacterium. RNAcentral describes it as "bacterial SSU rRNA". It matches the Rfam family "Bacterial small subunit ribosomal RNA", at positions 29 to 526 of the family's 1533-position model. The record is from RNAcentral.